Molecule: ribosomal RNA, 444 nt
Filed under: uncultured bacterium
Lineage: Bacteria
Description: bacterial SSU rRNA
Rfam family: Bacterial small subunit ribosomal RNA
Source: RNAcentral
CCAGACUCCUACGGGAGGCAGCAGUGGGGAAUAUUGCACAAUGGGGGAAACCCUGAUGCAGCGACGCCGCGUGAAGGAAGAAGUAUUUCGGUAUGUAAACUUCUAUCAGCAGGGAAGAAAAUGACGGUACCUGACUAAGAAGCCCCGGCUAACUACGUGCCAGCAGCCGCGGUAAUACGUAGGGGGCAAGCGUUAUCCGGAUUUACUGGGUGUAAAGGGAGCGUAGGCGGUUUAGCAAGUCAGAAGUGAAAGCCCGGGGCUCAACUCCGGGACUGCUUUUGAAACUGUUGAACUAGAUUGCAGGAGAGGUAAGUGGAAUUCCUAGUGUAGCGGUGAAAUGCGUAGAUAUUAGGAGGAACACCAGUGGCGAAGGCGGCUUACUGGACUGUAAAUGACGCUGAGGCUCGAAAGCGUGGGGAGCAAACAGGAUUAGAUACCCGUGUA